This 240-nucleotide long non-coding RNA is filed under the name Elaeis guineensis (African oil palm). Its description in RNAcentral is "long non-coding RNA (EGUI_LNC075004)". Lineage: Eukaryota; Viridiplantae; Streptophyta; Magnoliopsida; Arecales; Arecaceae. The record is from RNAcentral.
AAGAUUAAAGGGGGCACUUGUGUUUGGUUGUAAUAUGAACCAGUCGUGAAUAUGCAAAGCUAUGGAAGCUGCUAGAGGUACUACAAGUACCAUCAUUGGCUAAAAUUAUUUAAAAAUUAUUAAGUUCUAUCCCCCCAUAAUCCAAAAAAGAUAAGAAUUAUCUUUCCAAAUAGAUUUGAGUGUCACUAACUUAAAAGAAAUAUGAAUUUCAAUUUUAAAGAUAAAGGAGCAAAAAAAAUA